UACGUAGGGUGCGAGCGUUGCCCGGAUUUAUUGGGCGUAAAGGGCGCGCAGGCGGCUACGCACGUCCGUUGUGAAAUCGCUCGGCUCAACUGGGCGGGGUCAGCGGAUACGGCGUAGCUGGAGCAAGCUAGGGGGCAAUGGAAUUCCUGGUGUAGCGGUGAAAUGCGCAGAUAUCAGGAGGAACACCGGUGGCGAAGGCGGGUCUCUGGGCCGAUACUGACGCUGAGGAGCGAAAGCGUGGGGAGCGAACAGG
This 253-nucleotide ribosomal RNA is filed under the name uncultured bacterium. Its description in RNAcentral is "partial 16S ribosomal RNA". It matches the Rfam family "Bacterial small subunit ribosomal RNA", at positions 524 to 776 of the family's 1533-position model. The record is from RNAcentral.